RNAcentral lists this ribosomal RNA (429 nucleotides) under Bacteroidota bacterium. RNAcentral's name for it is "Bacteroidetes bacterium partial 16S ribosomal RNA". It matches the Rfam family "Bacterial small subunit ribosomal RNA", at positions 355 to 776 of the family's 1533-position model. The record is from RNAcentral. Lineage: Bacteria; Pseudomonadati; Bacteroidota.
UAGGGAAUCUUCCGCAAUGGACGCAAGUCUGACGGAGCAACGCCGCGUGAGUGAAGAAGGAUUUCGGUUCGUAAAACUCUGUUGUUAGAGAAGAACAGCGCAUAGAGUAACUGUUAUGCGUGUGACGGUAUCUAACCAGAAAGCCACGGCUAACUACGUGCCAGCAGCCGCGGUAAUACGUAGGUGGCAAGCGUUGUCCGGAUUUAUUGGGCGUAAAGCGAGCGCAGGCGGUCAAUUAAGUCUGAUGUGAAAGCCCCCGGCUCAACCGGGGAGGGUCAGUGGAAACUGGUUGACUUGAGUGCAGAAGAGGAGAGUGGAAUUCCAUGUGUAGCGGUGAAAUGCGUAGAUAUAUGGAGGAACGCCAGUGGCGAAGGCGACUCUCUGGUCUGUAACUGACGCUGAGGCUCGAAAGCGUGGGUAGCAAACAGG